This is a long non-coding RNA of Oxyura jamaicensis (ruddy duck), 1030 nucleotides long. RefSeq lists it as uncharacterized. NCBI's taxonomy places the organism in Eukaryota, Metazoa, Chordata, Aves, Anseriformes, Anatidae. The transcript is spliced from 3 exons. The record is from RefSeq and is a predicted model, not a curated record.
AGGAAGAGCUUGUACAACUCCAGCAGCUUAUUGAACAUAUAAAAUACAGUUAGUGCCAGGUAUUACUGCUGUAGUGAGCUUCUGGAGCACCCACAGCUUGGCACAUGGCUGUCUCUAGCAUUGGUGCAUACUUGCGAACAGAAGGUAGCAAAUGCUUGGGGAAAACAAGCAAGGUGUGCAGGAGAGGACCUGUGGGGCAGGAAAUUAUGUCUUCUCCAUGACAAGGGACAACAGUGGUUCUUCUAGAUGGGGUCUACCUUACAUACUAGAAUGUUGAGCAAGACCAGUAAGGUGCUGUUACUGCUAUUUGGCAUUUGAUGAAAGAUAGAUCCAGAGGCUCAUUCAACAUGUGGGGAGCCAACGGUACUGCAUGGAAGUAAUAAAGGCUCAAGCCUUUAUUCCAGCUUACAACUCUGGCCAUCUGCACCAAGAACAAUCCUUGAGCUAAAAACAAUCUCUCAGCUUCCAGGAGCCACACUGAGUGGUUACGAUUUGCUUGUGGAUACCCGAAAGAUAAGGGGCCUAGCUUUCACUAGCUGUAGAGCAUGUUUGGGGUUGUAGGGAGCCCUUUGUGUUUUGACAACACAGCCCCCGCAUCCUUUCCAGGGCCUCCGAGGCCUCCAUCCCACAUCUCUGCCUGUGAAAGUAGGCAAGUUACAGUAAUUGCUCUUAGCCAUGCUUGGAAGCAGAUGCGGCCUCUGAAACAUUUUAGCAGUAAGGUCACAGUAUCUUUUCUCCAUGCUAAUGCAUUUUUCUUGAUGAAGCGAGUGGGUUGGGGAUGUUCUAAUGCUUGACAGUUCCCACAUGCUGAGCCUUCUUUUAAACAGCCACAUGCCCUGCUUUGUUUUUCAAUUUGUAUAGCAUCAAUUAGAUAUUGGGGGAAAGUGUUUUAUAUAUGCUGGUGAAAUGAGUGCCUUUUGACAUCAGUUAGGGAUCUUAUACCAUGAGUCUUCAGAACUGAAAUAAAAUUCAUGGCAAAUGCAUAAAGAAUGUAGCAAAAGGAGCAGAAAUAGAUGGUAUCUGUGUGGGA